UUUAACUGAAGAGUUUGAUCAUGGCUCAGAUUGAACGCUGGCGGCAGGCUUAACACAUGCAAGUCGAGCGGGGGAAGGUAGCUUGCUACCGGACCUAGCGGCGGACGGGUGAGUAAUGCUUAGGAAUCUGCCUAUUAGUGGGGGACAACAUCUCGAAAGGGAUGCUAAUACCGCAUACGUCCUACGGGAGAAAGCAGGGGAUCUUCGGACCUUGCGCUAAUAGAUGAGCCUAAGUCGGAUUAGCUAGUUGGUGGGGUAAAGGCCUACCAAGGCGACGAUCUGUAGCGGGUCUGAGAGGAUGAUCCGCCACACUGGGACUGAGACACGGCCCAGACUCCUACGGGAGGCAGCAGUGGGGAAUAUUGGACAAUGGGGGGAACCCUGAUCCAGCCAUGCCGCGUGUGUGAAGAAGGCCUUAUGGUUGUAAAGCACUUUAAGCGAGGAGGAGGCUACUUUAGUUAAUACCUAGAGAUAGUGGACGUUACUCGCAGAAUAAGCACCGGCUAACUCUGUGCCAGCAGCCGCGGUAAUACAGAGGGUGCGAGCGUUAAUCGGAUUUACUGGGCGUAAAGCGUGCGUAGGCGGCUUAUUAAGUCGGAUGUGAAAUCCCCGAGCUUAACUUGGGAAUUGCAUUCGAUACUGGUGAGCUAGAGUAUGGGAGAGGAUGGUA
This 670-nucleotide ribosomal RNA is filed under the name Acinetobacter baumannii. RNAcentral describes it as "bacterial SSU rRNA". It matches the Rfam family "Bacterial small subunit ribosomal RNA", at positions 1 to 663 of the family's 1533-position model. Lineage: Bacteria; Pseudomonadati; Pseudomonadota; Gammaproteobacteria; Moraxellales; Moraxellaceae. The record is from RNAcentral.